UGGGGAAUAUUGGACAAUGGGCGAAAGCCUGAUCCAGCCAUGCCGCGUGUGUGAAGAAGGUCUUCGGAUUGUAAAGCACUUUAAGUUGGGAGGAAGGGCAGUAAGCGAAUACCUUGCUGUUUUGACGUUACCGACAGAAUAAGCACCGGCUAACUCUGUGCCAGCAGCCGCGGUAAUACAGAGGGUGCUAGCGUUAAUCGGAUUUACUGGGCGUAAAGCGUGCGUAGGCGGCUAAUUGAGUCGGAUGUGAAAUCCCCGAGCUUAACUUGGGAAUUGCAUUCGAUACUGGUUAGCUAGAGUGUGGGAGAGGAUGGUAGAAUUCCAGGUGUAGCGGUGAAAUGCGUAGAGAUCUGGAGGAAUACCGAUGGCGAAGGCAGCCAUCUGGCCUAACACUGACGCUGAGGUACGAAAGCAUGGGGAGCAAACAGG
Molecule: ribosomal RNA, 429 nt
Filed under: Pseudomonadota bacterium
Lineage: Bacteria; Pseudomonadati; Pseudomonadota
Description: Proteobacteria bacterium partial 16S ribosomal RNA
Rfam family: Bacterial small subunit ribosomal RNA
Source: RNAcentral